This 365-nucleotide ribosomal RNA is filed under the name Staphylococcus aureus. RNAcentral describes it as "bacterial SSU rRNA". It matches the Rfam family "Bacterial small subunit ribosomal RNA", at positions 258 to 615 of the family's 1533-position model. The record is from RNAcentral. Lineage: Bacteria; Bacillati; Bacillota; Bacilli; Caryophanales; Staphylococcaceae.
UAACGGCUUACCAAGGCAACGAUGCAUAGCCGACCUGAGAGGGUGAUCGGCCACACUGGAACUGAGACACGGUCCAGACUCCUACGGGAGGCAGCAGUAGGGAAUCUUCCGCAAUGGGCGAAAGCCUGACGGAGCAACGCCGCGUGAGUGAUGAAGGUCUUCGGAUCGUAAAACUCUGUUAUUAGGGAAGAACAUAUGUGUAAGUAACUGUGCACAUCUUGACGGUACCUAAUCAGAAAGCCACGGCUAACUACGUGCCAGCAGCCGCGGUAAUACGUAGGUGGCAAGCGUUAUCCGGAAUUAUUGGGCGUAAAGCGCGCGUAGGCGGUUUUUUAAGUCUGAUGUGAAAGCCCACGGCUCAACCG